UGCUCUCAGGAGCACGGAGGCCUCCGUGCUCCUGAGCCGUUUUCGAUGAUGGAGUUUCCGAAUUAACGAUCGGCUCCGUUAAAUUUGAUUUAGCGUAUUUGAAGUUUCUAGAAAAUAAUUUUUGCGAAUUUUCGAUAUCAUUUACCUAGCAAUCGAAAUGAUUCAAAAUCAUUUAACGGCUGAAAAUAAAAAUCCAAUAAAAAGUGGUGAUAUAGCACUAAAAUUUUCGAUCAGAAAUAUUGAUUUUGUUGUAGAUAGUAUAAAGAAUUUUGUAUCAAAAUUUCAUCUGAUUUGAAUACUUCUACACCGUUAAACUUGAAAACGACAGAUAUCAACCAUUAAAAAUUAUAAAUUUUGAAUCCUUUCAAUCACUAGGUAAAUGAUAUAAAAAAAUCACAAAAAUUAUUUUCUAGAAACUUCCAAAUGCGCUAGAUCAAGUCUAACGGAGCCGAUCGUCGAUUUGAAAAUUCCACCAUCAAAAAC
RNAcentral lists this long non-coding RNA (483 nucleotides) under Ananas comosus (pineapple). Its description in RNAcentral is "long non-coding RNA (ACOM_LNC027547)". The record is from RNAcentral. Lineage: Eukaryota; Viridiplantae; Streptophyta; Magnoliopsida; Poales; Bromeliaceae.